GUCACAAAUUGUACAUCCACCCCAAUCUUGCAACAAGAGUGUAUUAAAAGCCAUUUUUCAAGGCUGAGUAAGAGUUUGUGACCUGAUAGACGAUGGCUGGCAAACUCAUUUCAUCAUAAAUAUCACAGCAGAUAAUAUACUUCAAUACAAGUGAUGCAUCUGCCUAUGCCAGGAUCCUCAGAAAUUGCCAGGAGGCAGAGGGGCUAUGCAGCCAGACACAGAGCAAAGUUCAUUCCACGGAAACGACAGCAAGGACUCCUCCGCAGCCACUGCUGGACUCCAGAAUGUGAUGACCACCAUGAGAACUCCACCAGCUGUGAUGCUGAGCCUACCUCUGCUGCCCUUGGACACUCACUCCCAAAUAAAGUUCAGAUUGCUCUCUCUGAUUAUCUAACUUGUUAAGUCCACAUCAUUUUCCCCACCCUAGCUUCAGAAGACUGGAAAAUUGAGUUUCUGAUAUUUGUUAACAGAGUCCAGAUCCACAUUUCAGUGAGACUUGCAGGGUCAAGAAUUCUCCAAAUAUCAGAAGGAGAUCAGAUGCAGAAGAGCCAAGAGAAAUAAAUAAAUAUUUGUCCCAGGAAUAAGACCAGGAGUUAGAGGCUGAGUUUCAGCCCUAGGGUCAGCAUGUGAAGAAGAGAAUCUCUCUAAGAUCACU
Molecule: long non-coding RNA, 655 nt
Filed under: Homo sapiens (human)
Lineage: Eukaryota; Metazoa; Chordata; Mammalia; Primates; Hominidae
Description: HSALNT0297933
Source: RNAcentral